RNAcentral lists this unclassified non-coding RNA (221 nucleotides) under uncultured Actinomycetes bacterium. RNAcentral's name for it is "uncultured actinobacterium contains 16S-23S intergenic spacer region". Lineage: Bacteria; Bacillati; Actinomycetota; Actinomycetes. The record is from RNAcentral.
UCCGAGUUGACCCCGGCAGUCUCCCAUGAGUCCCCGGCAUCACCCGCUGGCAACAUGGAACAAGGGUUGCGCUCGUUGCGGGACUUAACCCAACAUCUCACGACACGAGCUGACGACAGCCAUGCACCACCUGCACACCAACCACAAGGGAACACCCAUCUCUGAGUGCGUCUGGUGCAUGUCAAACCCAGGUAAGGUGGGGAUGACGUUACGGUCUUACU